UUAAAUGGCCGCAGUAAUUUGACUGUGCAAAGGUAGCAUAAUCAUUAGUUUUUUAAUUAAAAGCUUGUAUGAAAGGUUGAACGAAGUAAAAACUGUCUUAAUUUAAUUAAUUUUAGAAUUUAAUUUUUAAGUUAAAAAGCUUAAAUUUUAAUAAAAGACGAUAAGACCCUAUAGAGUUUUAUAUAAUUUUUAAUAAAAUUAAUUAAGAUUUUUUUAUAUUUUAUUAAAGAUUAUAUUUUAUUGGGGUAAUAAAAAGAUUAAUUUAAUUCUUUUUUGUAUAAACAUUAAUUUAUGAAUAAAAGGAUCCAAUUUUAUUGAUUAAAAGAUUAAAUUACCUUAGGGAUAACAGCGUAAUUUUUUUAUAGAGUUCUUAUCGAUAAAAAAGUUUGCGACCUCGAUGUUGGAUUAAAGAUUAAUUUAGGUGUAGAAGUUUAAAAUAUUUAGUCUGUUCGACUAUUAAAUCUUUACAUGAUCUGAGUUCAGACCGGUUUAAGCCAGGUCGGUUUCUAUCUUUAUUAAAUUAAUAUAUUUCAGUACGAAAGGACCAAAUAUUUAAUAUUUUAUUAUUUAUUUUUAUGAUUAUUAUUAUUAUUUUGGCAGAUUAGUGCAUUGAAUUUAGAAUUCAUUUAUAUAAUUUUUAUUAUAAAUAAUACUUGUAUUAUAUAGAUUUNUUAUUUAUAUUUAUUAGAAUUUUAAUAUUAGUAAUUUGUGUAUUAGUUGGUGUUGCUU
This 729-nucleotide ribosomal RNA is filed under the name Anillinus sp. IBE_AI1146. RNAcentral's name for it is "partial large subunit ribosomal RNA". The stretch from base 1 to 537 matches the Rfam family "Bacterial large subunit ribosomal RNA", at positions 1923 to 2925 of the family's 2925-position model. The record is from RNAcentral. Lineage: Eukaryota; Metazoa; Arthropoda; Insecta; Coleoptera; Carabidae.